GAUGAACGCUGGCGGCGUGCUUAACACAUGCAAGUCGAACGAAGCACCUUGAUUUGAUUCUUCGGAUGAAGAUCUUGGUGACUGAGUGGUGGACGGGUGAGUAACGCGUGGGUAACCUGCCUCAUACAGGGGGAUAACAGUUAGAAAUGACUGCUAAUACCGCAUAAGACCACAGCACCGCAUGGUGCAGGGGUAAAAACUCCGGUGGUAUGAGAUGGACCCGCGUCUGAUUAGGUAGUUGGUGGGGUAACGGCCUACCAAGCCGACGAGCAGUAGCCGAACUGAGAGGGUGACCGGCCACAUUGGGACUGAGACACGGCCCAAACUCCUACGGGAGGCAGCAGUGGGGAAUAUUGCACAAUGGGGGAAACCCUGAUGCAGCGACGCCGCGUGAGCGAUGAAGUAUUUCGGUAUGUAAAGCUCUAUCAGCAGGGAAGAAAAUGACGGUACCUGACUAAGAAGCACCGGCUAAAUACGUGCCAGCCGCCGCAGUAA
Molecule: ribosomal RNA, 495 nt
Filed under: uncultured bacterium
Lineage: Bacteria
Description: partial 16S ribosomal RNA
Rfam family: Bacterial small subunit ribosomal RNA
Source: RNAcentral